This 3973-nucleotide unclassified non-coding RNA is filed under the name Hevea brasiliensis (rubber tree). Lineage: Eukaryota; Viridiplantae; Streptophyta; Magnoliopsida; Malpighiales; Euphorbiaceae. The record is from RNAcentral.
UUGAUACUGUCAAACAUUUGUCGUCUCUUUGUUUCUUUCUCAGUUUCUCCCUCCACAACUAUGAGCAACCUUGUUCACUCUCGCUCCUCCUUUUCCUCUCUUUCUUCUCUUACUGUCCAGCCCCUCAAACUCCACCGAAAACCCUUAGCUUCAACUAUCUUCACCUCUUCAUCCUCCAAAACCUCAACCCUGAUUUGCUCUUCCAAACCCAACAACGGCCGCAAACCCAUAUCGAGAAAAGGCAAGAAAUCAUCUUAUGGCACCUCCAGGAGGUCAAUUCUCAAGAAAACGUUCACCCAAGAGCACGUUACCUUCACUUUUCCAGUCGCGGAUGAUCCUCAUGUGGGCAUAAUUGGAGGAGGCAUGGCGGGUCUGGUUUGUGCUUUGAGCUUGGAGAAGAUAGGGAUCAAGUCCACAGUCUUCGAUACGGUUGGUCAGUUGUUUCUUUUUAUCAUUUGUUUUUUAAUAGGGAGUUUCAGAUUUUUUUUUUUUCUAUGUUACGGUGAAGGUAGACGAUAAUGGGUGGGUUUUAUAAUGUGAAAUUAUCAAUAUAUGCUUUAUUUGAGAGUAAUUUAUGAGCUAUUAUAUGCCUAUAGAAGUAACGUUCUUUUACUUCAUUCUUGUUUCCAAGAGUUUAAGGAUAAAAUGCUCAAUUUCUUAUAAACCUGUUAGCAUGGAUAAACAAUUUGUGUUUUGGUUUACUCAUUUCUGAAAUGUCUUAUAAAUUUCUCUUUCUUUGUUGAAUUUGUAAACACGCGUUUGCCAUCUGCGCGUAAAUUUCCUGAAAUGAAUAUGCCUUUGGAUUUGACUUUCUUACACUAUUGAAUGGAGUACUAUACGUGCUUCCAAGGGAGCAUGUUUCCCUGUGGAAUCCACAUUGCUGUUAGGAUCGUGCUUCGGGAGCAUCUUUUAAUUUCUUUUGUAGGUAAAUUAUUACAAUUAUGAAGGUUAAUCACAAACCCAUGCUAAUUCAGGGGAACCAUGGUUUGGGAGGAAGAAUGGGAACUAGAAAAAUUGAUCCUCAGCCACUAAUAUUUGAUCAUGCGGCUCAAUUUUUUACAGUAAGUAAUCCUCAGUUUGCUGAGUUAGUUGAUAGUUGGUUGGAGAAAGGUCUAAUUCGACAGUGGCAAGGUACAAUUGGAGAGCUUGAAGUGGGUGGUCAAUUUGUUCCGCUGCCUUCUUUGCCUCCAAAAUAUGUUGGUGUCAAUGGAAUGCGCCCUCUUGCUGACUCAUUGCCAUCUCAGGUCACAGCUUAAUAGAUUCUGGACCCUUGCUGCAGACUCGCAUGGUUAAUGUGGUGAGACCUUGCUGGAUAAGUAGACUUGAGCCAUUCAAUGGGAUGUGGCACUUGAGCGAGAAUGGAAAACCUUGUGGGCAGUUUGAUGUCAUUGUCAUUGCACAUAAUGGUGAGACUUCUUCUGUCCCUGCAUUUAUACUCUUAUUUUACCAAUUUUGACAAUAUUUCUGCAUUUUGUUGUAUUUCAGCAUACAUAUUAUUUGAAAUUUGGAUGACAUAAAAUGCUAUAUUUGGCUUCAUUUUGUUAAAAUGGAAUAAAUGAUUAUUCCACUUUUGCCAAUACAGGUUUUCAAGGAUUUUUCUAAUGCUAUGGUGAUUGAUCUUGCUUGAUUCUACUGAAAUGUUAAUACUAUUCCGUAUUUUUUCUAUAUUAAUGCAGGUUUAUCUAGAAUAUGCAUGUCUGUAAAAGGUCUAUUCAAUAUGAAAUAUUGGCAAACCAGUGACAAAAAAUUAAUGAUUGUUUAUAGGUAUAUAAAUGUUACCUUGUCCAUUUAGUAUUAAGUAAUGUAAAUCUAUACAAUUUUAAAAUGUGGCGUUCAUAUGACCUCUGUUUUGGGUUUAAUAAUAGACUCUCUAUCUAACAGGAAAAUGUGCAAAUCGCUUGCUUGCUUCAUCGGGCUUGCCUCUAAUUGCAAGACAAAUGAAAGUAUGCUUAAAACUUUGGUUUAGUCGGUGUAACCUAGACUAUGCUUUGGCUUUAUUAACUUCCAGUUAUGGAUUAUUUGUUUUCAACUGCUGGUGGUGUUUAAAUGCUUUGCAGAAGCUAGAUUUGAGCUCUAUAUGGGCCCUCCUUGCAGCAUUUGAGGAUCCCCUUCCCAUCCCAAGUGGUGCACCUCCGUUUGAAGGAGCCUUUGUGAAAGGAGUUGAUUCCGUCUCAUGGAUGGGAAACAACUCUAUGAAGCUAUUUUCUAAGAAUAACAGUCCUCAUUGUUGGACCAUUUUCAGCACUGCAGCUUUUGGAAGGAGGAACAAGGUUCCUCAGGAAAAUAUACCAAGUGCAACAGCAGAGAAGGUGAAGACAGCCAUGCUCGAGGGUGUGGAAGCUGCACUUGGAAUACCAAAAAGCUCACUUCAAAUGCCUUAUUAUAGUAGAUUACAACUAUGGGGUGCAGCCCUUCCAACCAACAGUCCGGGAAUCCCAUUCAUUUUUGAUCCCCAUGGAAGGGCUGGCAUAUGUGGUGAUUGGCUGUUAGGUUCAAAUCUGGAGUCUGCGGCUUUAAGUGGCAUGGCUCUUGCUAAUCAUAUUGGUGAUUUUUUACGAAGUGCCAUAGGCCGCCCGGAGGAGUUCGCUGUGGGCUUGCAUAACGAGUUCCAUCCUAUUGAAGGGCACGAUAUUGGACAAUUUUCAGGGUUGGAGUCCAGGGCAAACCCCAAGGAACUUCAACACUUGAAUUGAAUCAAUAAUGAUUAUGAUGAUUAUUAAUUAUGUAAUUACUUGAUUAUCGUAUCCUAUCUAUGCUAAUGAGGCAUUUCUGUUGCAUUUUUUUAUGAUAUAAUUAUGAAUACCAGAAUCAUACAAUUUACAUGUCUCUUUAUACGCACGUGCCAACCACCGAGCAAUUGCCCACUCCCAGCAAACCCGAAUUAUCGGUUCUUGUUGGUACGGGUUAAUCGGUUUCGCCCGAUCGGUGUAAUGAACAGCCCCCAUCUACUAGUCUGGUCAUUUCCGUUUACGUUAAUUUACUAUUGCGUCCAAAUGUCGCUAACGUGCGCUUGUAACUUACGUUUACGCUAGAAUACGCCGAGAAACACACAGCGUAUAAAUUUUAACGAAACGCCAUUAAAGAACACAAAUUAAGGAAUUUGAAUAACCUAAACCAAUAGCUCUGUUGCAACUUGCAUCUAUCAAACAACAAAUUUACAUCUCUAUGCAAAAUACUCAACUCAAGACUACAUCUCAUUUCCUUGCCUUCUUCACCGUCUUCUUUCCGGGCGUAGUUUUGGAAGCAGUUUUCGCCACCUUAGCCGGCUUGGCCACAGUUUUCGGCUUUGGCUUCGGCUUCACUGCCGGCUUAGACUUAGGCUUCACUGCUGGCUUAGCAGCCGCCUUAGCUUUCACAGGAGCUUUACUUUUAGGCUUAGGCUUGGCUGCGACUUUAGCUUUGGGCUUGGCUGCGACCUUAGCUUUGGGCUUGGCUGCGACUUUGGCAGUUUUCUGCUUGGUAGCUGCGGGUUUAGGCUUGACAUCGGCUGGUUUCAUAGCCGGAGCAGAGCGAGUUGGAGGAAGCUUGAAGGAGUUUUUCACUUUGACGAGCUGACCAGAUGCAACAAGUCUCUUCAGUUGAACCAGCAAAAGCUUUCUGAAAUUUGAAGGCAACUUCUUCUGCUUCUCUUCGAUGAACUUAGUGAUCGCAUAUUGGCUCGAUCCAGUCCUCUCUUUCAGUGUCACAAUCGCAUUACUUAUCAUCACAAGGAAAGAAGGAUAAGCGCGAGGGGACUUGGCCUUCUUAUGCACGGCUGCCUUCUUGGCUUUUGGCACACUGGCCUUGGUGGCGGUGGCCUUUGUGGUGGCUCUUUUGGACCUCGUCUCGUUCACCGCCGGCACAGCAGGAGCCAGAACUUCAGCAUCAACCAUUGUUAUAACUCAGCGAAACGAGCUGACCCUAAACAGGAGAAAUUCUUGGAGAGAUGGAGAGAUCGGUGGUUUUUUUGUUCGCGGAGAGAGAAAACUCGAUC